UGGGGAAUUUUGGACAAUGGGGGAAACCCUGAUCCAGCCAUCCCGCGUGUGCGAUGAAGGCCUUCGGGCUGUAAAGCACUUUUGGCAGGAAAGAAACGUCGCGGGUUAAUACCCCGCGAAACUGACGGUACCUGCAGAAUAAGCACCGGCUAACUACGUGCCAGCAGCCGCGGUAAUACGUAGGGUGCAAGCGUUAAUCGGAAUUACUGGGCGUAAAGCGUGCGCAGGCGGUUCGGAAAGAAAGAUGUGAAAUCCCAGAGCUUAACUUUGGAACUGCAUUUUUAACUACCGGGCUAGAGUGUGUCAGAGGGAGGUGGAAUUCCGCGUGUAGCAGUGAAAUGCGUAGAUAUGCGGAGGAACACCGAUGGCGAAGGCAGCCUCCUGGGAUAACACUGACGCUCAUGCACGAAAGCGUGGGGAGCAAACAGGAUUAGAUACCCUGGUAGUCCACGCCCUAAACGAUGUCAACUAGCUGUUGGGGGCCUUCGGGCCUUGGUAGCGCAGCUAACGCGUGAAGUUGACCGCCUGGGGAGUACGGUCGCAAGAUUAAAACUCAAAUGAAUUGAC
RNAcentral lists this ribosomal RNA (567 nucleotides) under uncultured bacterium. RNAcentral describes it as "partial 16S ribosomal RNA". It matches the Rfam family "Bacterial small subunit ribosomal RNA", at positions 355 to 914 of the family's 1533-position model. The record is from RNAcentral.